This 636-nucleotide ribosomal RNA is filed under the name Diadumene lineata. RNAcentral's name for it is "SSU rRNA". It matches the Rfam family "Eukaryotic small subunit ribosomal RNA", at positions 568 to 1209 of the family's 1831-position model. Lineage: Eukaryota; Metazoa; Cnidaria; Anthozoa; Actiniaria; Diadumenidae. The record is from RNAcentral.
CAGCAGCCGCGGUAAUUCCAGCUCCAAUAGCGUAUAUUAAAGUUGUUGCAGUUAAAAAGCUCGUAGUUGGAUUUCGGGACGAGUCGGUCGGUCCGCCGCGAGGCGUGUUACUGUCCGACUGGUUCUUCUUCGCCACGACCGCGUGUGCUCUUAACUGAGUGUGCGUUCGGGAGUUGCGACGUUUACUUUGAAAAAAUUAGAGUGUUCAAAGCAGGCUGUGGCUUGAAUACAUAAGCAUGGAAUAAUGGAAUAGGACUUGGGUUCUAUUUUGUUGGUUUCUGGAACCGAAGUAAUGAUUAAAAGGGACAGUUGGGGGCAUUCGUAUUUCGUUGUCAGAGGUGAAAUUCUUGGAUUUACGAAAGACGAACUACUGCGAAAGCAUUUGCCAAGAAUGUUUUCAUUAAUCAAGAACGAAAGUUAGAGGAUCGAAGACGAUCAGAUACCGUCCUAGUUCUAACCAUAAACGAUGCCGACUAGGGAUCGGGGAGUGUUAUUGGAUGACCUCCUCGGCACCUUAUGGGAAACCAAAGUUUUUGGGUUCCGGGGGAAGUAUGGUUGCAAAUCUGAAACUUAAAGGAAUUGACGGAAGGGCACCACCAGGAGUGGAGCCUGCGGCUUAAUUUGACUCAACACGGG